CGGUAAUUCCAGCUCCAAUAGCGUGUAUUAAAGUUGUUGCAGUUAAAAAUCUCGUAGUUGAAUUUCGGGGUCAGUAGGUCGGUCGUGCCACUGGUAUGAACUGGUUUUACUGAUUCCUCCCUCUUGAAGAACUGUAAUGCGAUUAAUUUGGUGUUGCAGGGAAUCAGGACUGUUACUUUGAAAAAAUUAGAGUGUUUAAAGCAGGCUUUAGCUUGAAUACAUUAGCAUGGAAUAAUGAAAUAGGACGUUUGAUCCUAUUUUGUUGGUUUCUAGGAUUGACGUAAUGAUUAAUAGGGAUAGUUGGGGGCAUUAGUAUUCAAUUGUCAGAGGUGAAAUUCUUGGAUUUAUUGAAGACUAACUACUGCGAAAGCAUUUGCCAAGGAUGUUUUCAUUAAUCAAGAACGAAAGUUAGGGGAUCGAAGACGAUCAGAUACCGUCGUAGUCUUAACCAUAAACUAUGCCGACUAGGGAUCGGAUGAUGUUAAUUUUUUAAUGACUCAUUCGGCGCCUUACG
RNAcentral lists this ribosomal RNA (514 nucleotides) under uncultured Glomeromycotina. Its description in RNAcentral is "partial small subunit ribosomal RNA". It matches the Rfam family "Eukaryotic small subunit ribosomal RNA", at positions 577 to 1092 of the family's 1831-position model. Lineage: Eukaryota; Fungi; Glomeromycota. The record is from RNAcentral.